GAUGAACGCUGGCGGCGUGCCUAAUACAUGCAAGUCGAGCGAAUGGAUUAAGAGCUUGCUCUUAUGAAGUUAGCGGCGGACGGGUGAGUAACACGUGGGUAGCCUGCCCAUAAGACUGGGAUAACUCCGGGAAACCGGGGCUAAUACCGGAUAACAUUUUGAACCGCAUGGUUCGAAAUUGAAAGGCGGCUUCGGCUGUCACUUAUGGAUGGACCCGCGUCGCAUUAGCUAGUUGGUGAGGUAACGGCUCACCAAGGCAACGAUGCGUAGCCGACCUGAGAGGGUGAGCGGCCACACUGGGACUGAGACACGGCCCAGACUCCUACGGGAGGCAGCAGUAGGGAAUCUUCCGCAAUGGACGAAAGUCCGACGGUGCAACGCCGCGUGAGUGAUGAAGGCUUUCGGGUCGUAAAACUCUGUUGUUAGGGAAGAACAAGUGCUAGUUGAAUAAGCUGGCACCUUGACGGUACCUAACCAGAAAGCCACGGCUAACUACGUGCCAGCCGCCGCGGUAA
RNAcentral lists this ribosomal RNA (515 nucleotides) under uncultured bacterium. RNAcentral's name for it is "partial 16S ribosomal RNA". It matches the Rfam family "Bacterial small subunit ribosomal RNA", at positions 28 to 523 of the family's 1533-position model. The record is from RNAcentral.